GAUCGGCAGUGGGUUGCAAAUGUGACUAAUUAUUCAUCACAAUAUAGUAUAAGUUGGGCCGCUACUUGUGUGAUUGGACCUCCAGAUGUAUACCCAAAUUACGGUGACUUGCAUGGUGCAUGGGCACCCUCAGAUUAUGGUGAUAAUAGCAUAACGGUAUCGUUUGAAAAGGAAAUGUAUAUACAAACUAUAAAUUUAUACGAGACAUAUGGAGCUGGAGGUGUUUAUAAUAUCACUGUCAAAAAUCCAAGUGGGGAUUGGUAUGCAGUAUGGGAAACUAACAAUACGAUACAGAUAACCAAAAGCCGGAUUUUUUGUCCUUCGUUCAAGAAACUUACAUUUCGAGCAAGUGAACUACGUAUUCAAUCCAUGACGUUCAAUGUGUAUUAUGAACUAGACGCAGUUGAAAUAACUGGAACUUAUUAAAGGAACUUAACAGUU
Molecule: long non-coding RNA, 441 nt
Organism: Mytilus californianus (California mussel)
Lineage: Eukaryota; Metazoa; Mollusca; Bivalvia; Mytilida; Mytilidae
Exons: 4
Source: RefSeq, a predicted model, not a curated record